ACCUCCACUCUAUCUCUCUCAGUCUAGUAGAAACUAGAAGAUCUAUUUCUACUUACAUUGGUUGCUAAGCCUAAAAAGAAAUAUUAAUUAGAGAAGAGGUUUUCCUUCGAGGGCACCCCUCAAUCUCUAUUAUAACUUCUUGUCUUCUCCAGGGGCCAGGGGGGUCUCCUUAUAUAGUCCUCCUCCUCUAUGCGUUUUUGGGUCGGUAGGCGAGGUGGUACUACGUUAUCUUUGAUCCAUUAGGUCGGUGGAACAUCGUGUGCGAAGAGAGUCCCGAACGGAGUACAGGAGGGGGCGGGCGCCCAGGACCUCAGGGCGGGCACCCUGGGCCUGGCCCCUUUCGGCCUCUGCUUUCUUCCCGUGGCUUCUGGAGUCUUCUAGAUGGUAGAAAAUCGCGCGGUGCGUUGAUAUCUCUAUGUAAUCCUGACAUGUGGGCCUUUCUUCCUUAUUUCCUGAUAACCCCCUGCAGAAACAGAUAAACAACAAAACUCAUGGAAUUCUGUCAGAUCAAACCGUAAUUCUAGGUAUUGGUUGCAUAUUGGUCCUUUCUCUUAUUUAUUUGAUAAUUAAAAUUGAUACUUAAGAAACGUCAACAGCGGGCAUCGAUGUACCCAUUGUUUUAAUUGCUAGAACACUUGUCCAUCUUUUACUCCCCCUUUUUUUUCUUUUUUUUCUUUUAAAUACUUUUGCAUAGCCACAUGCAUCCUUUGAAUUAAAUAAUCGGAGAGAUAAUGAUAAGAACUUAGAGCAAUUAAAUGGGGGCUGUCCUAUAGAGUAUAUUUUUGGGUGUUUACUCCUACUAUAGGAGAAAGAACAUUUUUAAGGUGUAUCUGGAUGAAGGUGAAAAUGACUGAGCUUACAUCCUAGACUAAGAGUAAUGCAUAUGUGGGUGGAGUGCGUAAGUGAUCUUAAUUUUAAAAGCAUGACAAGACUCUCAUAAGGUAUACUCCAAAGGUUGACUAAACUCAAUGUAAAGCAAGCAACAUGAAUGUGCAAAGGUUUUUGUAACUCUAAAUGUAUCAUAUAUGGCUUUGGUAGGAAUUUAAACUUUAUCAUACAAGAGCUCAUCAUGUAAGAUUUUGGGUUUUUGAAAAUAAAUCUCCAGAACUUAGUAAUGCUAGGAAUAAGAUAAAUAGUAGCUUAGACCUUCAUGUAUAAUACGAAUUACCAAGACUGUAACACCCCAAAAUUUGCAAUUUUCCAAAAUAGGAUAAAUUGUUAAAUUGUGUAUUUUUGUGCCCAUGAAAUAUAGGAAAAAUAAUAUUUUCUUUAAACAAAAAUUUACUAUAGGAGUUAGCAACUUGUCUG
This 1308-nucleotide long non-coding RNA is filed under the name Sorghum bicolor (sorghum). Its description in RNAcentral is "long non-coding RNA (SBIC_LNC004413)". Lineage: Eukaryota; Viridiplantae; Streptophyta; Magnoliopsida; Poales; Poaceae. The record is from RNAcentral.